UGUAACAAGUUUCAGAAAGUUUUUUUCGAGUAUGGCUCUGUGUGAAGUUAGAUGGAGUGGAAUUUCCUUAUAAAAUGCCAAUGGAUAAAAAAAUCAGCAGGGAGGAGACAUGCCAUGGCAUAACAUCUCUAUAGAAGACUUGAAGUCUUACCUGGCACUUGUGUACAUGAGUCUUGUGAAGGUCUCCGCUGUGACUGAUUAUUGGAGGAGGUCUUAAAAUCUAUAGUGUUCCCCUUCCUGCUAAGAUCAUGUCCUGUAGGGAGUUUCUCAGAAUGAUGAAGAGAAGGGAAGAGCAGCCUACGACCGCUUGGGUAAGAUCAAGCCUCUCUAUGACAACAUGAGGGAUGCCUGCAGAACAUUUUUUCAUCCAAAUCACAACAUCUCCAUAGAUGAGAGGAUGGUGGCAUCAAAGGCGAGGUCUGGACUCAAACAAUACAUGAAGAACAAACCCACUAAAUGGGGCUACAAGCUUUUUGUCUUGGCAGACUCACUAAGUGGUUACAACUGUGCGUUCUUCGUGUAUGAAGUCCCAUGCUUCUCAGAGACCUCCUUCUCUAAGAGGAUUUGGGCAUGUGGCACCAUUCGUCCAAACAGGAUCAGUUUCCCAAAGACAACCAUCAACAUGAGGGUCCAUACAAUGAGGGUCCAUACAAUGAGGGUCCAUUCAAUGGCUCAGAGAGGAUGAGCUGCUGUUGGUGGAAAGGAAAGACAUCUGGGAAGUACUGAUGUGUUCUACAUUCCACAGAGCAAAGGCGGGUGAAGGACAAUGAUGGGCAGUGGUCCCAAGUUUGUCUACUAAAGUGUCUCAAAUGUGUCUAUUCCAGGUGCUGUGCUGGUUACCAACAGGUUCAUGGGGGGAGUGGACCUGUCCGAUGCCCUCAUUGGAUACUACAAAGUGCUCCACAAGACACGGAAAUGGCUUGGAAUGAGGCACAGCUGCUCCUCAGGCUUCAAAAGUUGACUGCCACAAUCCAAAGCAUGUCACAGAGGACAGCACUGCUGGAUGGAGAAAGUGCAAGCUUUGCCAUCAGAAGACACCAGUUGUGUGUGAAACCUGUGAGGUGCCAUUGUGUCUUCUGCCAAAAUGGGACUGUUACAAUUUCCGGCAUGAGCAGGGUGGGAAAUAUUAAUCGUUUUUUUGUUUUAAUCAUGCAUAAACUGUUUUUAGUUUAUCUAACAUUGUUCAAAGAGUUCAAAUCUAAUAGUUGUUCAAGUAAGCCAUUUCUGGUUUGAGACUGUAACAGCGAGGGAUACAUGACCAGUAUGUUUUUAUGAUUCUUUCUGUUAUAGGGAGCUUUUGUGUUAUAAUGCAACUAACAUGUAAUGCACACAUUAGGAAAAAAAGAUUUCCUAGUCUUGAAACACAUAGAAAUAGGAAAUUAAAAUAAAUCUUGCCUACUUUAUUCAAAUGUUCUUUGUUCUGCUUCCACACUUUCCUCUUUCUUGUCUUUCAGUGGCUUUGUUUUCCUGUUGGUUAGAGGACAAACCUUCUCAGUGACUGCCUUGAGUGUGUUCCUAUACUUUGUAAACGCUGCUUUAGUUCUUCAGUAACUGGAUAAUUAUCAUAAUUAGCAGUUAACUGUUUUAGAUUUAUUUGAAUGAAAAACUUGUAAAAUAAAGAUAUUUUGCAUGUUUUGUUUGUUAAGUAGUUCUAAAGUUAUCACUGAUCAAAUCUGUUUUAGUUUCACUGUUUUUGUCAUUAGAACUGUUCUAAAUAAAGACUAUUUAGCUAUAAUGUUCAAAUGUUCUGAUUUUUUUUCUUGUGUGGUUUUGUGGGCAGAGCAGAUCUGAAUUGAUGUACAUAAUAUAUUCAAUAUGGGCGCUGCAGUUAACUGUCCAAAAAUACAGACCUAACCCAAUCCCUAAACCUAGCCCUACCCAUAAUUUAUUCCUUAAAUCAGAGUGAUAAGAGUGAUAAGUGACUGAAGAUAAGUGAAAAACAAGAGUUUAGU
Carassius auratus (goldfish) is the source of this 1952-nucleotide long non-coding RNA. RefSeq lists it as uncharacterized. Lineage: Eukaryota; Metazoa; Chordata; Actinopteri; Cypriniformes; Cyprinidae. The record is from RefSeq and is a predicted model, not a curated record. The transcript is spliced from 3 exons.